CCUACGGGGGGCAGCAGUAGGGAAUUUUCGUCAAUGGGCGCAAGCCUGAACGAGCGAUGCCGCGUGAGUGAAGAAGGCCUUCGGGUCGUAAAGCUCUGUUGCGGGGGAAAAAAGGCAGCAUCAGGAAAUGGGUGCUGACUGAUGGUGCCCCGCCAGAAAGUCACGGCUAACUACGUGCCAGCAGCCGCGGUAAUACGUAGGUGGCGAGCGUUAUCCGGAAUGAUUGGGCGUAAAGGGUGCGCAGGCGGCGCAUUAAGUUUGAAGUAAAAGGUAGCGGCUCAACCGCUGCAAGCUUCGAAAACUGG
Molecule: ribosomal RNA, 305 nt
Filed under: uncultured bacterium
Lineage: Bacteria
Description: bacterial SSU rRNA
Rfam family: Bacterial small subunit ribosomal RNA
Source: RNAcentral